Molecule: ribosomal RNA, 412 nt
Filed under: uncultured bacterium
Lineage: Bacteria
Description: partial 16S ribosomal RNA
Rfam family: Bacterial small subunit ribosomal RNA
Source: RNAcentral
AAUAUUGCGCAAUGGAGGGAACUCUGACGCAGCGACGCCGCGUGAGCGAUGAAGGUCUUCGGAUCGUAAAGCUCUGUCCUUGGGGAAGAAGGGAGCCGUAAGGCUUCUUGACGGUACCCAUGGAGGAAGCCCCGGCUAACUACGUGCCAGCAGCCGCGGUAAUACGUAGGGGGCGAGCGUUGUCCGGAAUUAUUGGGCGUAAAGGGUUCGCAGGCGGUCUUUUAAGUCAGAUGUUAAAUGCAUAGGCUCAACCUAUGAGUGCAUUUGAAACUGGAAGACUUGAGUUAAGGAGAGGAAAGUGGAAUUCCUAGUGUAGCGGUGAAAUGCGUAGAUAUUAGGAGGAAUACCAGUGGCGAAGGCGACUUUCUGGACUUAAACUGACGCUGAGGAACGAAAGCAUGGGGAGCAAACA